GCUGGUAUUGAUGGAUGAUAUAGGUCUCACUCUGCUGGUAUUGAUGGAUGGCAUAGGUCUCACACUCUGCUGGUAUUGAUGGAUGGUAUUGGUCUCACACUCUGCUGGUAUUGAUGGAUGGUAUAGGUCUCACACUCUGCUGGUAUUGAUGGAUGGUACAGGUCUCACUCUGCUGGUAUUGAUGGAUGGUAUAGGUCUCACUCUGCUGGUAUUGAUGGAUGGUAUAGGUCUCACACUCUGCUGGUAUUGAUGGAUGGUACAGGUCUCACUCUGCUGGUAUUGAUGGCUGGUAAAGGUCUCACACUCUGCUGGUAUUGAUGGCUGGUAUAGGUCUCACACUCUGCUGGUAUUGAUGGAUGGUAUAGGUCUCACACUCUGCUGGUAUUGAUGGUUGGUAUAGGUCUCACUCUGCUGGUAUUGAUGGAUGGUAUAGGUCUCACUCUGCUGGUAUUGAUGGAUGGUAUAGGUCUCACUCUGCUGGUAUUGAUGGAUGGUAUAGGUCUCACUCUGCUGGUAUUGAUGGCUGGUAUAGGUCUCACUCUGCUGGUAUUGAUGGAUGGUAUAGGUCUCACUCUGCUGGUAUUGAUGGAUGGUACAGGUCUCACUCUGCUGGUAUUGAUGACUGGUAUAGGUCUCACUCUGCUGGUAUUGAUGGAUGGUAUAGGUCUCACACUCUGCUGGUAUUGAUGGCUGGUAUAGGUCUCACACUCUGCUGGUAUUGAUGGAUGGUAUAGGUCUCACACUCUGCUGGUAUUGAUGGAUGGUAUAGGUCUCACUCUGCUGGUAUUGAUGGAUGGUAUAGGUCUCACACUCUGCUGGUAUUGAUGGAUGGUAUAGGUCUCACACUCUGC
Molecule: long non-coding RNA, 851 nt
Filed under: Salmo salar (Atlantic salmon)
Lineage: Eukaryota; Metazoa; Chordata; Actinopteri; Salmoniformes; Salmonidae
Description: lncRNA (ENSSSAG00000088788.1)
Source: RNAcentral